UACAGAGGGGGCAAGCGUUGUUCAGAAUUACUGGGCGUAAAGGGCGCGUAGGCCGCCUGUUAAGUCGAACGUGAAAUCCCCGGGCUCAACCCGGGAACUGCGUCCGAUACUGGCAGGCUUGAAUCCGGGAGAGGGAUGCGGAAUUCCAGGUGUAGCGGUGAAAUGCGUAGAUAUCUGGAGGAACACCGGUGGCGAAGGCGGCAUCCUGGACCGGCAUUGACGCUGAGGCGCGAAAGCCAGGGGAGCAAACGGG
Molecule: ribosomal RNA, 253 nt
Filed under: uncultured bacterium
Lineage: Bacteria
Description: partial 16S ribosomal RNA
Rfam family: Bacterial small subunit ribosomal RNA
Source: RNAcentral